Molecule: RNA transcript, 887 nt
Organism: Schistocerca gregaria
Lineage: Eukaryota; Metazoa; Arthropoda; Insecta; Orthoptera; Acrididae
Gene name: arpin-like
Exons: 3
Source: RefSeq, a predicted model, not a curated record
AUAUUUGGUUGAAUUUACGCCAAAUAAACACAUCGCACCGUUUGGGUUGCACACCUCGAUGUCGCAAUCGGAGACGGACAGGGCGUUCGAAGAAGGACCGAAUUGUCAAGAAGAGGGAGAUUCGGACAGUAGAGCUUCAGCGGAUGGCUUCGCAUCAUCCGAAUGCGGUGUUUCCGUGGAGGGAGAGCCUUGGCACCUGGCAGAAGCUGAGAAAUCUCCGUCUGUGGACGAGAGCGAUAGAUGGAAAUUCGAAGAUAUAAACGAUUUUUCUCAAGAAAAUACGCAUUUACUUCAGAAUCCUCCAGGUCCGUCAGUACUUGCUAUUCCGGUUCACCAAAGAAAUGGCGAUUCGAUUAGAGAGCACGAACAUCCCAACGAGCACUCGUCUUCUCGCGCCUACGAACAAGCCCCGCCAAUUUGCGUCGUUCCUUCAGUUUGGCAUAGCUUCUCUCUGCAAAGAUUGGCACUAAUCCUCGAUGUGCUGCUGACUUUUUUGGUUUUGAUGCUCGGACUGUUAUUGAUCAGGAGGUUCUCCCUGAUCCUCGACGACUGAAUGAAAAGUUAGGAUGCGGUGAUUGCAGAUUUUUUUUUUAAUAAUUUUUUUUUUCAAUCGGCGAGGCAAAAGAGCAGUUUUGUCGACGCUAGUAUCAUGCUUAGAAUCGCGUCGACGUCGAGUUACGUUGAAGAAUUUAGGGAAGAUAAUUACACAGAAGGUGGGGAUGGCAUAUUGGUUUUGGGAACCAUCCGGACCCAGCGGUUUCACAUCAUGACCUCGAAAAUCGAUAUUCAUCGAUAUUUGGUGUUCCUGGUGGAGGUGGCGGCCGCUCACAGACGCGUUGUCAACAAGUAUGGUAAUGAAGAAAUCAUCACAGAUAUGAUGGAGGAUG